UGGGGAAUAUUGGACAAUGGGCGCAAGCCUGAUCCAGCCAUGCCGCGUGAGUGAUGAAGGCCUUAGGGUUGUAAAGCUCUUUUAUCCGGGACGAUAAUGACGGUACCGGAGGAAUAAGCCCCGGCUAACUUCGUGCCAGCAGCCGCGGUAAUACGAAGGGGGCCAGCGUUGCUCGGAAUCACUGGGCGUAAAGGGCGCGUAGGCGGCGUUUUAAGUCGGGGGUGAAAGCCUGUGGCUCAACCACAGAAUGGCCUUCGAUACUGGGACGCUUGAGUAUGGUAGAGGUUGGUGGAACUGCGAGUGUAGAGGUGAAAUUCGUAGAUAUUCGCAAGAACACCGGUGGCGAAGGCGGCCAACUGGACCAUUACUGACGCUGAGGCGCGAAAGCGGGGGGAGCAAACAGGAUUAGAUACCCUGGUAGUCCACGCCGUAAACGAUGAAUGCCAGCUGUUGGGGUGCUUGCACCCGCAGUAGCGCAGCUAACGCUUUGAGCAUUCCGCCUGGGGAGUACGGUCGCAAGAUUA
RNAcentral lists this ribosomal RNA (524 nucleotides) under uncultured bacterium. RNAcentral's name for it is "bacterial SSU rRNA". It matches the Rfam family "Bacterial small subunit ribosomal RNA", at positions 355 to 896 of the family's 1533-position model. The record is from RNAcentral.